AUGGCCAUUUCUACCCCACUGUCGUUGUUGUUGGCGCUGCUUAGAGGUGAUGGCUCGCUGCUACAUGACGAGUGGCCACCAGGACUGGACUGAUAUGUCUGGAGGAGGACAGCAAGAAAGAACUUAAUCCAGCAAACAACAGAACUGCGCAUCAAAGCCAACAUCUGCUAAGGAGUGGGACAGGCUGGAUAUUCCGCUGAGUCUCCGCUGGUUAAAUUGUUUACUGCGACUCGUCUGCAUCCUGUCCUUGGAAGGAGGCCGCUGGGGAUGGCCGGUGUCAAGGCCGCACACUCCGUCUGGAGAAAGAUUCAUCCUCCUGGAGACGUGACCUUGAAACUAUAUUGUAAAAGUUUAUUUCUUCAUAAAUGUUUAUAGAAUUCCUCCGCCUCUGCUGCAAACCUUAACCGCUGACUGGGCAGGAUAGUGUGGUAUUGUUUCUGGAUGUGACCAUUGUAUUUAAAAAGUUCAGUUCAUUUCACUUAGUUCAUCCCCUUGCUGGCAGAUGAUAUGUAUGAAUAAGUCUUUCUCUAUGUGCCCCAGAGCUCUCAGUGAUUAGGCUAAUUGCUAAAUGCUAGCAGAGGCUUGUGAGCAGCAGCAGUGAAACCUUAGAUCUGUAAUUACAAGAAACAGCGUUUCCCUCAGGAAGAAUUGCACUGAUGGCAAAAAUCAAUUUCCUCAUCUUGUUUUCUGGGGAAGCUACAACACAAUUACACCAGGCAUUAAUUGCAAAGACACUCAUUGUCCACUGGAACGCUCAGGCUGAGACACAACUGAACGGUGGGCCAUUAGAGUUGGCGUCAAAAACAUUUAAUAAAACACACUUAUGUUCUCCCAGGAGGGAUUAAUGUCGAUGCAAACUUUUCAAAGUGUAUAUUGUUUUAGAUAUUCUCGGCUGAUGCCUGGGUGACUGCAGACAUGCACUUCUCAUCAUGGGUGAGUGGGAUUUUUUUGCUCCGUGCAGCGCUUUGAUUAAUUCUUUUCCUCCAGCAGUGUUUCUA
Long non-coding RNA from Larimichthys crocea (large yellow croaker), 998 nucleotides. RefSeq lists it as uncharacterized. The record is from RefSeq and is a predicted model, not a curated record. NCBI's taxonomy places the organism in Eukaryota, Metazoa, Chordata, Actinopteri, Sciaenidae. The transcript is spliced from 3 exons.